This 391-nucleotide ribosomal RNA is filed under the name uncultured bacterium. Its description in RNAcentral is "bacterial SSU rRNA". It matches the Rfam family "Bacterial small subunit ribosomal RNA", at positions 86 to 507 of the family's 1533-position model. The record is from RNAcentral.
ACUCCGUCAGUGGCGGACGGGUGAGUAACGCGUAGGAAUCUAUCCUUGAAUGGGGGACAACCGUGGGAAACUACGGCUAAUAACCGCAUGAUGCCUGAGGGCCAAAGACGAAAGUCGUUUGAGGAGGAGCCUGCGUCUGAUUAGGUAGUUGGUGGGUAAAGGCCGUACCAAGCCUACGAUCAGUAGCUGGUCUGAGAGGAUGAUCAGCCACAUUGGGACUGAGACACGGCCCAAACUCCUACGGGAGGCAGCAGUGGGGAAUAUUGGACAAUGGGGCGCAAGCCUGAUCCAGCAAUGCCGCGUGGUGAAGAAGGUCUUCGGAAUUGUAAAGUCCGUUUUGGCGGGGACGAUUAUGACGGUACCGGAAGAAGAAGCCCCGGCUAACUUCGUG